This is a long non-coding RNA of Cynoglossus semilaevis (tongue sole), 466 nucleotides long. RefSeq lists it as uncharacterized. The transcript has 3 exons. NCBI's taxonomy places the organism in Eukaryota, Metazoa, Chordata, Actinopteri, Pleuronectiformes, Cynoglossidae. The record is from RefSeq and is a predicted model, not a curated record.
AUAUAGCGAAGGAAAUCCUUGACCAUAUCUCAGCCAGCUCUUUGCUUUCAAAUGCAAACAAGGAAAUUACUUUAUGAUGGGAUGCCUGGCCAGGCGAACACAGCUGUCGCUGUGGAAACUUCCACAUCGACCCUGCGAGAGCAUGUGGCGAGUUGUUGUAGAUGAGGACGGCGCUGGCGUUGAAUGCUGUGGCCUUCAGGAUCUUCUCUUUGAAGGUGCAGUUUCCUCUCUGCAACAGUGCUACCCACUGGACACCACGGGGGGGAACCAAAAAGCGAGUGUUGGGGUCACAGCCCUGCCGGUCCACCACUGACGAGACAAAGAGGUGUACACUCUCUCACCUCCAUUAUGUGGUGUUGGUGCAAUGACCACACCCCUUGUGUCCACCUUGGGUGAGUUCUGUCCAUAUGUCCCGUCAUCACUGCUCAUCACAUGGACAGUGUGUCCUCGUGCAUCCAGCACCGUG